RNAcentral lists this ribosomal RNA (253 nucleotides) under uncultured bacterium. RNAcentral's name for it is "partial 16S ribosomal RNA". It matches the Rfam family "Bacterial small subunit ribosomal RNA", at positions 524 to 776 of the family's 1533-position model. The record is from RNAcentral.
UACAGAGGUCCCAAGCGUUGUUCGGAUUCACUGGGCGUAAAGGGUGCGUAGGCGGUCAGAUAAGUCUGAUGUGAAAUCUUCGAGCUCAACUCGGAAAUGGCAUUGGAAACUACCUUGCUAGAGGAUUGGAGGGGAGACUGGAAUGCUUGGUGUAGCAGUGAAAUGCGUAGAUAUCAAGCGGAACACCAGUGGCGAAGGCGAGUCUCUGGACAAUUCCUGACACUGAGGCACGAAAGCCAGGGGAGCAAACGGG